GACGAACCGUGCGGACGUUGUUCGGAAUCAUUGGGCUUAACGGGCGCGUAGGCGGGUCGGCAAGUCAGGGGUGAAAGCCCGCGGCUCAACCGCGGAAGGGCCUUUGAUACUGCCGGUCUCGAGGGAGGCAGGGGAGCGCGGAACUUCCGGUGGAGCGGUGAAAUGCGUAGAUAUCGGAAGGAACGCCGGUGGCGAAAGCGGCGCUCUGGUCCUCUUCUGACGCUGAGGCGCGAAAGCCAGGGGAGCAAACGGG
This 253-nucleotide ribosomal RNA is filed under the name uncultured bacterium. Its description in RNAcentral is "partial 16S ribosomal RNA". It matches the Rfam family "Bacterial small subunit ribosomal RNA", at positions 524 to 776 of the family's 1533-position model. The record is from RNAcentral.